CGUAAAGGGAGCGUAGGUGGAUUUUUAAGUGAGAUGUGAAAUACUCGGGCUUAACCUGAGUGCUGCAUUUCAAACUGGAAGUCUAGAGUGCAGGAGAGGAGAAGGGAAUUCCUAGUGUAGCGGUGAAAUGCGUAGAGAUUAGGAAGAACACCAGUGGCGAAGGCGCUUCUCUGGACUGUAACUGACGCUGAGGCUCGAAAGCGUGGGGAGCAAACAGGAUUAGAUACCCUGGUAGUCCACGCCGUAAACGAUGAGUGCUAAGUGUUGGGAGGUUUCCGCCUCUCAGUGCUGCAGCUAACGCAUUAAGCACUCCGCCUGGGGAGUACGACCGCAAGGUUGAAACUCAAAGGAAUUGACGGGGGCCCGCACAAGCGGUGGAGCAUGUGGUUUAAUUCGAUGCAACGCGAAGAACCUUACCAGGUCUUGACAUCUAGUGCAAUCUGUAGAGAUACGGAGUUCCCUUCGGGGACGCUAAGACAGGCGGUGCAUGGCUGUCGUCAGCUCGUGUCGUGAGAUGUUGGGUUAAGUCCCGCAACGAGCGCAACCCUUGUUAUUAGUUGCCAGCAUUAAGUUGGGCACUCUAAUGAGACUGCCGGUGACAAACCGGAGGAAGGUGGGGAUGACGUCAAGUCAUCAUGCCCCUUAUGACCUGGGCUACACACGUGCUACAAUGGGCAGUACAACGAGAAGCGAGCCUGCGAAGGCAAGCGAAUCUCUGAAAGCUGUUCUCAGUUCGGACUGCAGUCUGCAACUCGACUGCACGAAGCUGGAAUCGCUAGUAAUC
RNAcentral lists this ribosomal RNA (784 nucleotides) under uncultured Bacillota bacterium. RNAcentral's name for it is "bacterial SSU rRNA". It matches the Rfam family "Bacterial small subunit ribosomal RNA", at positions 559 to 1343 of the family's 1533-position model. The record is from RNAcentral. Lineage: Bacteria; Bacillati; Bacillota.